UUCCGCCCGCUCUCCCACCGCCUUU
This 25-nucleotide microRNA is filed under the name Suid alphaherpesvirus 1. RNAcentral's name for it is "prv-miR-LLT11b-3p". Its record names the gene prv-miR-LLT11a-3p. Lineage: Duplodnaviria; Heunggongvirae; Peploviricota; Herviviricetes; Herpesvirales; Orthoherpesviridae. The record is from miRBase by way of RNAcentral.